GACGAACGCUGGCGGCGUGCUUAACACAUGCAAGUCGAACGGAAAGGCCCUGCUUUGGUGGGGGGCUCGAGUGGCGAACGGGUGAGUAACACGUGAGUAACCUGCCCUUGACGUGGGGAUAACUUCAGGAAACUGGGGCUAAUACCGGAUAGGAGCUCCGGCUGCAUGGUGGGGGUUGGAAAGUUUCGGCGGUUGGGGAUGGACUGGGGGCUUAUCAGCUUGUGGGUGGGGUAGUGGCUUACCAAGGCUUUGACGGGUAGCCGGCCUGAGAGGGGGACCGGCCCCAUUGGGACUGCGAUACGGCCCAGAGUCCUACGGGAGGCAGCAGUGGGGAAUAUUGCCCAAUGGGCGGAAGCCUGAUGCAGCAACGCCGCGUGCGGGAUGACGGCCUUCGGGUUGUAAACCGCUUGCGCCUGUGACGAAGCGUGAGUGACGGUAAUGGGUGAAGAAGCACCGGCUAACUACGUG
Molecule: ribosomal RNA, 468 nt
Filed under: uncultured bacterium
Lineage: Bacteria
Description: partial 16S ribosomal RNA
Rfam family: Bacterial small subunit ribosomal RNA
Source: RNAcentral